UCCUGUGCAGGACAGCUUCUAUCCCUGUCACUUAACAAUGGAGAGGAUUCUUCCCCAGCUUCCUUCCAGAGGACACAAAAGCUCAGAGCUCCACAGUCUAGAGUCUAGACCAACAGGCCUCCACACUCACGUCCCAGAGAUUUCCCUGGUCCCACCUACUCCCAGUGGCAACCAGACUUCUGCACAUAGGAGAGAUGUCAUACUCAGAGUCCAGCCUCCCACAUCCACAGGACCACCUCUUCCUCCUCUGAGUCUUGUUAAUAGGGCCAUCCCUUGCCUUAGACCUGGCCCAGUGGACUCUGAUCUUACAAACAGCCAAUAUGGGGCAGCAAAGUGGGACAUCUGUCUACAGGGCCAGUAGCCCCAAGUCAUCUGCUUGCCAAAAGGAGGGGGACCAGCCCCCGGGGGGAGCCCAGAGCUCGGCAGGGCUGGGGUUAGUAAGAAGAGAAAACAGGGUUAGUAGGGGCUGGGUUAGUAAGUCAGAGCACAGCACCAGCGGACAGGGCACCUCAGCAGACACACACAGGAGUCGCUAAGAGAAAAGGAAGAACGCACGCAGGUCCGUUAGUUUGUUAAGGGAUGAUUGGGGUGCAGUUGAGGCACCCCAGGGGUUAGACGGGUUAGUAAUCGAACAAAAGAGCUGCCUACAUAAAAGAAAGCUGAGAUGGAGGAAGAAUGUGGGGAAGUGACAGGGAUUCAAAGCAAGUGUCUUGCCCCAGGCAGAAGGAUCUGUGUGCAGAACACCCAGAGAGGCCAGGACCUAGGCAGCAGACGUGUUCAACCAGGUUUGAGGGGCCUUCCUCCAUCCUCAUACUUUUUUUUUUUAAGUGUCUGCCAUGUGCUGAGACCCUUAUAUUGACGGGAAUCCUCACUGCAACCUGUAAGGUAUCAGAACUCGCAUUCUACCACUGAGGAGACUGAGGUUGAGAGAAGUGAGGUGACUUACUCAAACUCACUCAACAGGAAGUGGCAGAGUUGAGAAAAGACCAUGUGAGGACAUAGUGAGAAGGUGCCACCUGCAAGCCAAGGAGAGAGGCCUCACCAGAAACCAAGUCUAACACCUUGAUCUGGACUUUCCAGCCUCCAGAACUGGCAGAAAAUAAAUUCCUGAUGUUUAAGCCAUCCAGUCUGUGGCAUGGUGCUGUGGCAGCCCAAGCUGAUGAAUAGUACACACCACUCCCCAUUCUGGGAAAAAGGACAUCUGGCUUUUAAACUUGCCUAAGGGAGGCCACAAGCUGCUCUCUUGCAAAUGCUGGGACUGUCUCCUCUGGAGGGAGCUGGAAUUGCAGAUUGUGGGGCCUGUCCUGCCACCUUCUGUUCCCCAAGAACAGAAUCCAGGAGCAGUGCAACUAGAAGCAGCGAUCUGAUUGAAGAAGAGUGUCCUGAGACUGGGCUAAGGUGACCCCUCAAGCCUUUGGGAUGGUGCACUCUCAGCCCCUCUGGCUGCCCCUCCCAGAGUUCAACAGCACAGGGGGAAGGCUCCAGCUCCUCCCAGAUCCUGACUGUCUCCUCUUUGUAACCAUCAGGGAGAGGAAAAGCAUGGAAAAGCCCCACCAAGGAAGUCCCCCACAAAAUGACAAUUACGCACUGAGCAAAUGGAGACAAAGGACUCCAGCCAGCGGCACCCGAGGAGCUGCAUCUGCCCUCUGCCUGACAGCCCCUCCCCGACUCCCAUCCUUGUUCCUGUCCCCAUCCUGUAGGGUCCUUUGAGACCCAGCCUUGGGGAAAGUGUGGUCAGUGGGGACUUGGCCCAGGCCAGGCUCUGUCUGGUCACCGGCAGAAACGCGAGGAGGAAUCAAGUUCACAUGGGGCAGGAAAGGGCCCUCAGACCCAGACAAUAGGGCCCAGCAGGCAGGGCCCGAGCAGGUGAGGAGGGAGUAGUGGGCUGCCAGGCCUCCCUCAUACCCCUGCAGCUGUCCUCCAGAGCCAGAUCAGUCAUCUGCUGAGCAUCAACCAGGAAGAGUUCCUAUCCAUGGGAGGCUCCAUCCCAACAGGUGUGAAGAGGAUGAGAUCUUCAGGGAGUCACCCAGCGGGCUAGAAAACCACCGGAGUCUGACCGUUAAGUCACUGUGGCCAGAAUCCAAGGUCACCCGAGGUCCAAAGAGAAGUCCAGGCCAGGAGUCCUGGAGAUGCGGCCCAGAUGGAGCCACCUGGGGGAGAAGACAGCGAGUGAGGAUGAGGCCACAGCCUCCAUCCCCAACUUCCCACAUCCCCCCAGCCUAAUUCUGCAUCUGAGGGGACACAUGUUCAGAGAUCCCCCCAGUCUCUCUCUCAUGCCCCCAGCACACACACAGGGUGGAAGUGAGGGUUUUGGACAUGAAAAAUUUUUAGAAGAAACUUAGGCCAGGCACAGUGACUCCCACCUGUAAUCCCAGCACUUUGGGAGGCUGAGGAAGGAGGAUCACUUGAGCCCAGGAGUUCGAGACCAGCCUGGGCAACAUAAUGAGACUCUGUCUCUACAGAAAAUAAGCCAGGCAUGGUAGCAUGCACUUGUAGUCCCAGCUACCCAGGAGGCUGAGGUGGGAGGAUGUAUUGAGCCCUGGAGUUCAAGGCUGCAGUGAGCCGUGAUCAUAACACUGUACUCUAGCCUGGGCAACAGAGUGAGACCCUGUCUCUGAG
This 2619-nucleotide long non-coding RNA is filed under the name Pan troglodytes (chimpanzee). Its description in RNAcentral is "lincRNA". The record is from RNAcentral. Lineage: Eukaryota; Metazoa; Chordata; Mammalia; Primates; Hominidae.